RNAcentral lists this ribosomal RNA (440 nucleotides) under uncultured bacterium. RNAcentral's name for it is "partial 16S ribosomal RNA". It matches the Rfam family "Bacterial small subunit ribosomal RNA", at positions 338 to 795 of the family's 1533-position model. The record is from RNAcentral.
CCUACGGGAGGCAGCAGUGGGGAAUAUUGCACAAUGGGGGAAACCCUGAUGCAGCGACGCCGCGUGAGCGAUGAAGUAUUUCGGUAUGUAAAGCUCUAUCAGCAGGGAAGAAAAUGACGGUACCUGACUAAGAAGCCCCGGCUAACUACGUACCAGCAGCCGCGGUAAUACGUAGGGGGCAAGCGUUAUCCGGAUUUACUGGGUGUAAAGGGAGCGUAGACGGCUUGGCAAGCCAGAUGUGAAAGGCUGGGGCUCAACCCCAGGACUGCAUUUGGAACUGGCAUGCUAGAGUGUCGGAGAGGGAAGCAGAAUUCCUGGUGUAGCGGUGAAAUGCGUAGAUAUUAGGAAGAACACCAGUGGCGAAGGCGGCUUGCUGGACAGUGACUGACGUUGAGGCUCGAAAGCGUGGGGAGCAAACAGGAUUAGAUACCCCAGUAGUC